RNAcentral lists this long non-coding RNA (487 nucleotides) under Zea mays. RNAcentral describes it as "long non-coding RNA (ZMAY_LNC001292)". Lineage: Eukaryota; Viridiplantae; Streptophyta; Magnoliopsida; Poales; Poaceae. The record is from RNAcentral.
UCUGAACCUGCUGCCUUCCACAGCUCCUCCACUCAUCUUUCUACCGUCCUUGAUUGCAGUCCUUCCUUCUUCAAUUCACUCAUGUAGCCAUGUAUGAGGUUUUUUCUCUUGAAUUCAGUGGGACAACCGUUAUGUUUACCUUAGCCCUUAGUUCUGCUGCUAGCUGAUUUCUGAAGUUUUCGUUGUGUAUCUUAGGUGUGCAAGAGAAGAGCUGUUUCAGCAACAUUGGUAUGGCGGGUUGAGGCCAUCUUCAGCUGAUCCUUCGUCCCAUCCACUAUCUCAUCCUCUGUUUUAAAAUUUCAAUCUGUAAACAAUGUUAUCUACAAUUUCAUGUUUCCUAUUUUACUGUGUCCACUGAAGAUAGUAUGAGAGUUUAGGGUUCAAUUCAGCUGCUUUGACAGUUGACAGGCCUGUGCUUGGCAGGCGCGAAGCUGAUAUCAGAAACAAGUACAGUGCUUGCUAUCUUUGUUGAAACCUCCUAAAGUUC